UACAGAGGUCUCAACCGUUGUUCGGAUUCAUUGGGCGUAAAGGGUGCGUAGGCGGCGGGGUAAGUCAGGUGUGAAAUCUCGGGGCUCAACCCCGAAACUGCACUUGAUACUGCCUUGCUCGAGUACUGGAGAGGAGAUUGGAAUUUACGGUGUAGCAGUGAAAUGCGUAGAUAUCGUAAGGAAGACCAGUGGCGAAGGCGAAUCUCUGGACAGUUACUGACACUGAGGCACGAAGGCCAGGGGAGCAAACGGG
Molecule: ribosomal RNA, 253 nt
Filed under: uncultured bacterium
Lineage: Bacteria
Description: partial 16S ribosomal RNA
Rfam family: Bacterial small subunit ribosomal RNA
Source: RNAcentral